This 129-nucleotide ribosomal RNA is filed under the name Glutamicibacter arilaitensis. RNAcentral describes it as "partial 16S ribosomal RNA". It matches the Rfam family "Bacterial small subunit ribosomal RNA", at positions 1416 to 1533 of the family's 1533-position model. The record is from RNAcentral. Lineage: Bacteria; Bacillati; Actinomycetota; Actinomycetes; Micrococcales; Micrococcaceae.
AACACCGAAGCCGAUGGCCUAACCACCUUGUGUGGGGGGAGUCGUCGAAGGUGGGACUGGCGAUUGGGACUAAGUCGUAACAAGGUAGCCGUACCGGAAGGUGCGGCUGGAUCACCUCCUUUCUAAGGA